RNAcentral lists this ribosomal RNA (465 nucleotides) under uncultured bacterium. RNAcentral describes it as "partial 16S ribosomal RNA". It matches the Rfam family "Bacterial small subunit ribosomal RNA", at positions 28 to 507 of the family's 1533-position model. The record is from RNAcentral.
GACGAACGCUGGCGGCGUGCUUAACACAUGCAAGUCGAACGGAAAGGCCCUGCUUGCAGGGUACUCGAGUGGCGAACGGGUGAGUAACACUUGGGUGAUCUGCCCUGCACUUCGGGAUAAGCCUGGGAAACUGGGUCUAAUACCGGAUAGGAGCCAUUUUUAGUGUGAUGGUUGGAAAGUUUUUUCGGUGUAGGAUGAGCUCGCGGCCUAUCAGCUUGUUGGUGGGGUAAUGGCCUACCAAGGCGGCGACGGGUAGCCGGCCUGAGAGGGUGGACGGCCACAUUGGGACUGAGAUACGGCCCAGACUCCUACGGGAGGCAGCAGUGGGGAAGAUUGCACAAUGGGCGCAAGCCUGAUGCAGCGACGCCGCGUGGGGGAUGACGGCCUUCGGGUUGUAAACUCCUUUCGCUAGGGACGAAGCUUUUUGUGACGGUACCUAGAUAAGAAGCACCGGCUAACUACGUG